This 371-nucleotide ribosomal RNA is filed under the name uncultured organism. RNAcentral describes it as "partial 16S ribosomal RNA". It matches the Rfam family "Bacterial small subunit ribosomal RNA", at positions 527 to 896 of the family's 1533-position model. The record is from RNAcentral.
GUAGGUGGCAAGCGUUGUCCGGAAUUAUUGGGCGUAAAGCGCGCGCAGGCGGUUCUUUAAGUCUGAUGUGAAAGCCCACGGGCUCAACCGUGGAGGUCAUUGGAAACUGGAGAACUUGAGUACAGAAGAGGAAAGCGGAAUUCCACGUGUAGCGGUGAAAUGCGUAGAGAUGUGGAGGAACACCAGUGGCGAGGGCGGCUUUCUGGUCUGUAACUGACGCUGAGGCGCGAAAGCGUGGGGAGCAAACAGGAUUAGAUACCCUGGUAGUCCACGCCGUAAACGAUGAGUGCUAAGUGUUAGGGGGUUUCCGCCCCUUAGUGCUGCAGCUAACGCAUUAAGCACUCCGCCUGGGGAGUACGGCCGCAAGGCUG